Molecule: long non-coding RNA, 892 nt
Organism: Hippocampus comes (tiger tail seahorse)
Lineage: Eukaryota; Metazoa; Chordata; Actinopteri; Syngnathiformes; Syngnathidae
Exons: 2
Source: RefSeq, a predicted model, not a curated record
CAUCUUGAUGUUGACAAAAAAUGACCCACUCACGUCUCCUUGAUGUCAGAUUUCUCGCGUGGAACAGGGUGACUCUUCAGCGCCGUGUUUGUUAUUAUCAAACAUCUCAUCUUGCGGCAAAUGUCCACCAGUUAUGCUAAUUAGCAUGCAAUUGACAGUUAGCGCUUCCUCUGCGUCAAACUCCACAUUUUCACCACCUGCCUGUCCAGAUACUUUUCCGGUUUCCACAAACACUUUUUUCCUCCAUUUUGUCCUUCGUUAGUGUAUGAAUGCUUUUGUGCAACUUUUGUUUCUUCCCAUUGGCAUCCCAAUACUUUUGCCAAAAUUGUCCAUUUUCACCAAUUUUCUCUUCUAACGUGUGUCUCAAUACUUUUGCCCACUAUUUCAUCAUUUUUCCAAUUUACGUAGGCGUCCCAAUACUUUUUUUUUCCAAACUCCACCUUUCAACUUCCCUUUGGUGUUCUGCUUCUUUUACCCGCAUUUUCUCCACUUUUGGCUUCCCUGAGGUGUCCCGCUUCUUUUACCCGCAUUUUCUCCACUUGUGGCUUCCCUGAGGUGUCCCGCUUCUUUUACCCACAUUUUCUCCACUUUUGGCUUCCCUGAGGUGUCCCAAUUCUUCAGUCCAAACUGCACCGUUUCCCUUCUUGUAGGCAUGCCAGCACACCAUGUUCUCGACAUUUUCUUGCCUUUCUUUCCGCGUCCAAUGAGAGCGGCUUAAGUAUGCACAUAAAGGAGCGGUGAGGAGAUGCUGGAUUUCGCGUCUUUCUGCAAGAACGCUUACCGUAUGGAGAGAAAAAAAAAUGACUGGAAAAGACAAACCCGCAUUGAGCAUUCUUAGCGCGGGCGUGCAUGAAUUUUUAGCAGCAUAUUGAUUAAAUCAAGCCCCCCCUCC